GCUGGCCCCAGAAAGGGGCUUUUUGCCACCAGCUUCAGAAAAACAUGGCAGCUGGGGAAGUGGUUUGGACAUGCACACCAAACCCUGGGUUAGAGCAAGGGCCAGGAAGGAAUACUGGGAGAAUCUUCGGAUAGCCUCAGGCCGGCCAUACAACCCUUCAAUGUCAAAGCCAGAUGGCUGGGGAGUGACCAAAGGAACAGCCGAGCUGAUGCAGCAGAAAGAAGCCACAACUGAGCAGCAGCUGAAAGAGCUCUUUGAAAAACAAAAAUUCAAAUCACAGUAGCCUCGAUAGAAGCUAUUUUUGAUGAAUUUCUAGGUGUUUGGGUCACAGUUCCUACAAAUACGGAAAAGGGGGUUAAAAAGCAGUGCUUUCAUGAAUGCCAUCCUACACAUAUUAUUGCUAUUACCUGAACAAAAUAGAAUUACAAAUAGCACUUGAUAAUUUUAAAGUAUGUUUUAGAAAUUUUCUUAGGAGCAAAAUAAGUACAAAGUAAAUCUUGAACAGGUUCACUAAGCACCCACCCUGUGAAAAGUAUUAUGGAAAUCACUGCUGCACAGGAAAAGUAAUUCAGAUGUUAAUGCCACUUGAAGAAGUUGGUAGGCUAGCAAAGAGGAUGAGACAUGAACUGUCAUAAAGGACUCAGCAACCAGCCAGGGACAGAUAAAGCGCUAUGGAAAGGGGCUUCCAAGUUCUUUUGAACAUGACCCUUAGUAACAAACACAAUUUAUAUAAUGACCCAGCAAAACACAUCACAUCUUACUGUCGAAAUUAAAUGUGUGAUCCAUCCUAGUAUUUUCUGUUCCAUUCCUUUUCAUUCUAUUUCAUUUAUAAAACAUGCUAGUUGAGACUUUUCAAAUGGAUUUUUAUGACCCACUACUGGGUUUGGAUCCACAGUUUGAAAAAUAUUGCUACAAGACACUUAAGGAGACCAUCCUGUUUAAGUUUAUUCUUAUAAGUAGGUCAGUCAUAUGAGACCUGAUCAAUAAAUAUCCAAUACCC
Molecule: long non-coding RNA, 1000 nt
Filed under: Homo sapiens (human)
Lineage: Eukaryota; Metazoa; Chordata; Mammalia; Primates; Hominidae
Description: HSALNT0090126
Source: RNAcentral